This is a long non-coding RNA of Rhododendron vialii, 407 nucleotides long. RefSeq lists it as uncharacterized. Lineage: Eukaryota; Viridiplantae; Streptophyta; Magnoliopsida; Ericales; Ericaceae. The transcript has 3 exons. The record is from RefSeq and is a predicted model, not a curated record.
CCGCUCCGAUCCGCCCCGAAUGCCCGAGUAUAAAUACCUCUUAUUACCUGUUAGGGUUAUAUUAAACACAUCCAGCCCCACGCCCCCAGCUCUACUACUGCUGUGUGCUGUAUGCCGACUUCCCAGUUCCCACGGUCCACCGUCCACCCCGACGAUCUCCCUCCCCAGUCGACGUCGAGUAUUUGUUAGGGGUUAUUUCUUAAUGGCGAUGCCCCCCCUUGCUCGAGAUCUCCGACUCCAACCGGACCAACCGUACGCUCGUCAAGUGUGCCUAUUUGGGAAAGUAACUCUACGUCAACUGAAAUUGAAUCGAAUGAGGCACAAUUACCAACACUUGAUAGUUCACAAGCAGAAAUUGAGUCAAAUCUCCCUGCAAAUGAACCAGAAGACCUUGGGUAUACUUCUGA